GGCUUGAUCUGUUUGUACGUCUGUCACCCCAUUGAUCACAGGGUUGAUUCAGCUGAUCUGGGUGGCUAGGCAAGUACUCCCCUCCUCCCUCACUGCUCCAUGUGCAUGCUUCCCAAAGCUGUAUGCUAGGAGAAAGGAUGAUUUAUUCUGAUAGAGAAGGACUGUUAUUUGGUCAAGGGUAAAUGAAUAGCUGUGUUCCCUUGCUAGAACCUCCAAACAAGCUCUCAACUAAGUUUGAUGUGGGGUGAUCUGAUUGCGGUUUCAUUGGAAGAACCCCAACUGUCAGGAUUUUAUC
RNAcentral lists this small nuclear RNA (295 nucleotides) under Felis catus (domestic cat). Its description in RNAcentral is "7SK RNA". It matches the Rfam family "7SK RNA". From Rfam's summary of the family: 7SK was discovered as an abundant small nuclear RNA in the mid-70s but a possible function has only recently been suggested. Two independent studies have found that 7SK RNA binds the CDK9/cyclin T complex (known as elongation factor P-TEFb). Lineage: Eukaryota; Metazoa; Chordata; Mammalia; Carnivora; Felidae. The record is from Rfam by way of RNAcentral.